AGAGUUUGAUUCAUGGCUCAGAUUGAACGCUGGCGGCAUGCCUUACACAUGCAAGUCGAACGGUAACAGGUCUUCGGACGCUGACGAGUGGCGAACGGGUGAGUAAUACAUCGGAACGUGCCCAGUCGUGGGGGAUAACUACUCGAAAGAGUAGCUAAUACCGCAUACGAUCUGAGGAUGAAAGCGGGGGACCUUCGGGCCUCGCGCGAUUGGAGCGGCCGAUGGCAGAUUAGGUAGUUGGUGGGAUAAAAGCUUACCAAGCCGACGAUCUGUAGCUGGUCUGAGAGGACGACCAGCCACACUGGGACUGAGACACGGCCCAGACUCCUACGGGAGGCAGCAGUGGGGAAUUUUGGACAAUGGGCGAAAGCCUGAUCCAGCAAUGCCGCGUGCAGGAUGAAGGCCUUCGGGUUGUAAACUGCUUUUGUACGGAACGAAAAAGCUCCUUCUAAUACAGGGGGCCCAUG
RNAcentral lists this ribosomal RNA (467 nucleotides) under Delftia tsuruhatensis. Its description in RNAcentral is "bacterial SSU rRNA". It matches the Rfam family "Bacterial small subunit ribosomal RNA", at positions 8 to 474 of the family's 1533-position model. Lineage: Bacteria; Pseudomonadati; Pseudomonadota; Betaproteobacteria; Burkholderiales; Comamonadaceae. The record is from RNAcentral.